GAUGAACGCUGGCGGCGUGCCUAACACAUGCAAGUCGAACGGAAAGGCCCUGCUUUUGCGGGGUGCUCGAGAGGGGAACGGGGGAGUAAAACGUGAGUAAACUGCCCUUGACAUUGGGAGAACAUCUGGGAACUGGGGCUAAUACCGGAUAGGAGCUCCUGCUGCAUGGUGGUGGAUGGUGAGUUUCGGCGGUUGGGGAUGGACUCGCGGGUUAUCAGCUGGUUGGUGAGGUAGUGGCUUCGCAAGGGUUUGAAGGGUAGCCGGCCUGAGAGGUGGACCGGGAACAAGGGUACUGCGAUACGGCACAGAGGCGUACGGAAGGCAGCGGUGGGGAACAUGGCACAACGGGGCGAAGCCUGAUGCAGAAACGCUGCGUGCGGGAUGAUCUCCUUCGGGUAGUGAACAACUUUGGCAUGUACCGAAGCGUGAGUGACGGUACUGGAUAAAGAAGCACCGGCUAACUACGUG
This 468-nucleotide ribosomal RNA is filed under the name uncultured bacterium. Its description in RNAcentral is "partial 16S ribosomal RNA". It matches the Rfam family "Bacterial small subunit ribosomal RNA", at positions 28 to 507 of the family's 1533-position model. The record is from RNAcentral.